RNAcentral lists this long non-coding RNA (1290 nucleotides) under Anas platyrhynchos platyrhynchos (common mallard). RNAcentral describes it as "lncRNA (ENSAPLG00000024516.1)". The record is from RNAcentral. Lineage: Eukaryota; Metazoa; Chordata; Aves; Anseriformes; Anatidae.
GGAGGAGGAGGAGGAGGAGGAGGAGGAGGAGGAGGAGGAGGAGGAAGGAAUGCCAAGAAUUACUGGUGUUAUUAUUUCACUAGGAGGUAAAGUGACAAUCAGGAAGGUGAGAGCUUGCCCUCAAAGUUAUAUAUCUGCUUAUGUACUGAAUUUGGGAAACAGAAGACAAAGUUCAUCUUUUAUCAUUGGAAGAGAAGGACAUGGAUGAGUCCUUGAGAAGAUGUGAACAGCAAUAAUUAUACUGCAUUGGUCUUCACUCCAGGCAUAUGAGUUUUCCAUAUGGUUUCUUCAAACUCCUUUUUGAUUCGUCAUACUGAAUACCUACCCACCACCCCCAUAUUCACUAGAUUUUCAGAAUAAUUCAAGAAAGGAUGAUUUCAAAUGCACAGUUCCACUCUAAAGACACCAAGAGCCUGUUGAUGAACUCUUCAGUACAGUGUCUUCAGAGCAGCAAUAUCUGUGAAGUGACAGGAAAAACAAGCAUAAAGGAUAGAAACUGGAGCAUGAAGAAGAUGAGACAUUGGCACAAUGGAAUACCAAAAUAAAGAAGAAAAUUUCUAUUAAUAGAUACCAAAACAGGAGAGGAAGGGAUUAUAUACUUGCCAUUUAGGUGGUACUCUUUGUCUAGUUGUCCAAAAGGUCUGAAGACACAGCAAUACUUGCAAAAUAAGUUUUCAUCAACAGAUGUUAUAAUUGUGUAUUUUACGGAACGUUGUUAUGCAUUUUCUACUUCAAAUCAAAUGGACCCCAUAUCUCUCAUUAUGAGAAUUUAUCUCAGUAUGUAGGAAAGAUAUGUAAACAAUGAAACCUUAGAUAAGUUACUGCCCAUGACAAUUUCUUCUAGUGUUUUAAAAUUCUAUCAAGUGACCCCUUCAGUGCUUGCCAUCCUAUACUACUGCCAGAAGAAUGAAUUUUGCUGCAAGAGAAUUAAUGUCAUUGCUAGCACUAAGAUAUUUUGUAUGACAGAAUGGCUAAAAGUUCAGAAUUGAACAUGAUACACAAACAAAAUUUAGUUGAUAUCUGCCUUACUACUCACUCUAAAUUACUAAGAUAAUUAGAAGAAAAGUAGAGGGGGGGGAGAAGGAGGAGGCAGAGUGAGCUUACACGGGCUUCAAGUCAUUAUCCCAUGAGCAGGUACACAAGUUAAGUUUCUGAGUCACUAUUAUUUCUUGUUUACUUUUUCUUCCUUCAUUCUUUGUCACAGAGAGGGGAAAGUAUAGACCUCAGUGUGAUUUGGUCCAUUCUGAAAAAAACAAUAAAUUUUCAGAGAUCAGAAUGAAGAAAUCCUAG